AAUAAGUAUAGUUUUGGACUAUUCACGUUUAACGUUUGACCAUUCGUCUUAUUUGAAAAUUUUUCAUGAUUAGUAUUUUUAUUGCUAUUAGAUGAUAAAACAUAAAUAGUACUUUAUGUGUGACUAAAUAUUUUCAAAUUUUUCACAAAUUUUUUAAAUAAGACGGACGGUCAAACGUUGGGUACGGAUAUCUACGGCUACACUUAUU
Oryza glaberrima (African rice) is the source of this 208-nucleotide non-coding RNA. The record is from Rfam. Lineage: Eukaryota; Viridiplantae; Streptophyta; Magnoliopsida; Poales; Poaceae.